AUGAUGGAGGACAGUAGUUUCGUCUGAAUUGUUCCUGUUUUUUUCCUAUCGCUAGUAAAAGAAUUCAAGUGUAUUAUAAAUGAAUAAUGAUUUUGUGGUGCCUGAUAUCGUCUCGGCUGAUGUAUACAUAUAAAAUAUGCCGCCGUCGACCUACACCGAGUAUGGCCUUGGGAUUUAGAUGACUGUCGACUUAGGAUGAAGAUCAAAGAAAUGUUCAUCAGAGAUGAAUAUGAUGCUUCGACUUUGAUUUUUGAUCAUCUAUAAAGAUCAAAGAAACGUACAUCGGAAAAGAAUACGAUGC
This is a long non-coding RNA of Saccostrea echinata, 301 nucleotides long. RefSeq lists it as uncharacterized. NCBI's taxonomy places the organism in Eukaryota, Metazoa, Mollusca, Bivalvia, Ostreida, Ostreidae. The transcript has 3 exons. The record is from RefSeq and is a predicted model, not a curated record.